UGGGUCGGCAAGGCGGUCGCGUCAUCCGUUGUUCGCGAGAACAGCGGAUGCCGAGGAACGUCCGGGCUCCAUAGAGCAGGACGGUGGGUAACACCCACCCGGGGCAACCCGCGAGACAGUGCCACAGAAAGUAGACCGCCGCCUGCCGGCCUUCGGGCCAGGCAGGGGGUAAGGGUGAAACGGUGGUGUAAGAGACCACCAGAGGCCAGGGUGACCUGGUCGGCUCGGUAAACCUCGUCCGGAGCAAGGUCAGACAGGGAACGACAAGGCUGCUCGCCCAGUUCCCGGGUAGACCGCUGGAGGGCUGCGGCAACGUAGUCCCGAGAUAGAUGGCCGCCCACGGUGUCCGUGCCUCGCACGGCACCCGGACAGAACCCGGCGUACCAGCCGGCCCAUUCC
Molecule: RNase P RNA, 399 nt
Filed under: Cryobacterium tepidiphilum
Lineage: Bacteria; Bacillati; Actinomycetota; Actinomycetes; Micrococcales; Microbacteriaceae
Description: Bacterial RNase P class A
Rfam family: Bacterial RNase P class A
About the family: Ribonuclease P (RNase P) is a ubiquitous endoribonuclease, found in archaea, bacteria and eukarya as well as chloroplasts and mitochondria.
Source: Rfam by way of RNAcentral